This 88-nucleotide transfer RNA is filed under the name Deltaproteobacteria bacterium. Its description in RNAcentral is "tRNA-Leu". It matches the Rfam family "tRNA". Rfam says of the family: Transfer RNA (tRNA) molecules are approximately 80 nucleotides in length. RNAcentral also lists the same sequence under 1 other name. Lineage: Bacteria; Pseudomonadati; Myxococcota; Myxococcia. The record is from RNAcentral.
GCCGAAGUGGCGGAACUGGUAGACGCGCUAGGUUCAGGGUCUAGUGGGGAUUUACCCCGUGGGAGUUCGAGUCUCCCCUUCGGCACCA